UUGUUCAGUUACCUAUUCGGUUUUGAUGGGGAGCAGCCAUCAGACGCAAGGGGGAAAGUGCAGUGUAAAUCUGCCGCUGUCCCGCAGCUGUAAGGAGAGGCGCAACUCUCUGAGUCAGAAUGCCCGCCGAUUGGUAAACCCGUUA
RNAcentral lists this non-coding RNA (145 nucleotides) under Oscillatoriales cyanobacterium. RNAcentral also lists the same sequence under 1 other name. The record is from RNAcentral. Lineage: Bacteria; Bacillati; Cyanobacteriota; Cyanophyceae; Oscillatoriales.